This 443-nucleotide ribosomal RNA is filed under the name uncultured bacterium. RNAcentral's name for it is "partial 16S ribosomal RNA". It matches the Rfam family "Bacterial small subunit ribosomal RNA", at positions 338 to 795 of the family's 1533-position model. The record is from RNAcentral.
CCUACGGGAGGCUGCAGUGGGGGAUAUUGGGCAAUGGAGGCAACUCUGACCCAGCAACGCCGCGUGAGUGAUGAAGGUCUUCGGAUCGUAAAGCUCUGUGAUGGGGGAUGAACACAAUGACGGUACCCCAAUAGCAAGCCGCGGCUAACUACGUGCCAGCCGCCGCAGUAAUACGUAGGUGGCCAGCUUUAUGCGGUAUGACUGGGCGUAAAGGGUGCGUAGGGGGUUGUGGAAGUCGGCGGUGUAAUUCCGGGGCCCAACCCCGGCGCUACCGUCAAAACUAUUAGACUGGAGUGCAGGAGGGGUAAGUGGAAUUCCUAGUGUAGCGGUGGAAUGCGUAGAUAUUAGGAGGAACACCAGGGGCGAAGGCGACUUACUGGACUGCAACUGACGUUGAGGCACGAAAGUGUGGGUAUCAAACAGGAUUAGAUACCCUGGUAGUC